RNAcentral lists this ribosomal RNA (476 nucleotides) under uncultured bacterium. RNAcentral's name for it is "bacterial SSU rRNA". It matches the Rfam family "Bacterial small subunit ribosomal RNA", at positions 31 to 541 of the family's 1533-position model. The record is from RNAcentral.
GAACGCUGGCUGUAUGUCUAACACAUGCAAGUCGUACGAGAGUUUUUAACUCUAGUGGCGGACGGGUGAGUAACACGUGAGAAUUUGCCUUUAGGAGGGGGACAACAAUUGGAAACGAAUGCUAAUACCCCAUAUGCUUUCGAGUGAAGUGGAUUUAUAUUUAUCCGCCUAGAGAGAAGCUCGCGGCUGAUUAGCUUGUUGGUAAGGUAAGAGCUUACCAAGGCGACGAUCAGUAUCUGGUUUGAGAGGACGAUCAGACACACUGGAACUGAGACACGGUCCAGACUCCUACGGGAGGCAGCAGUGGGGAAUUUUCCGCAAUGGGCGAAAGCCUGACGGAGCAAUACAGCGUGAGGGAAGACUGCCUAUGGGUUGUAAACCUCUUUUUUCAGGGAGGAAUAAAUGACGUGUACCUGAAGAAUAAGCAUCGGCUAACUCCGUGCCAGCAGCCGCGGUAAGACGGAGGAUGCAAGUGU